AAUGGUGUAUAACUCUUCGAAGAGUGGGACUUUUCUUUUUAGCUUUCAGAUGCUAAGGUAACCCAUGUAUGUCCUAAUUUUUCUUCUUGGUUUGUUCUAUUAAAAAGCAGCAUGUUUUUGGUAAAUAGAACAUAUAAUACCUAAGUCUACAACUGCUUUUAUAAGCUCCUCAACUUUUACUUCCUCUGUUUUUGCAUAGGUCUCUAAAUGACAUGCCAUGGUUAGUUGAACCUAGAAAAAUCUUGGUCAGUUAGAUUAAGCAUGACACUGAUAGAACUAGAUGAAAUUGAUGUUUACAGGAGGUUCAACAUUGGCUGAUCUUCAACAGGCUCUUAAAGUUACUUGCCACUUCUGUUGGGAUUAAUAAAAAAUGGAGUCCCAGAAUGUAGGCCAUCAAAAGGCACUGUGCAAAGCUUGAACGUGUAGGAUCUACGCAGUUGGCUAGUUUGCUUAUAUUUGCAGGGCUAAUGAUCAUGCUCUUUGUCAAGCUUUAAUAACUUGAAAAUUCACAUAAAACUGAUUGUUCAUUGCAUAUGCAUAUUAUCAGUUGAUGGUUGACAUACAAUUGUUAUUUGGAAUACAUGGUAUUUCAAUGAAUUGGGGGUGAAGCAAAGGCCUUUUUUGUUGUAGUGACAGAUCACACUGUCCACUAAAGUUGCUCUUCACAACGAUAUAUACUGAAUUGUCGCUUCUUACUGUUUUUAUAGGGAAUAUGCCCCUUCAAUCAUCUUCAUGGAUGAGAUCGACAGUAUUGGAUCUGCUCAUAUGGAAUCGGGGACUGGCUAUGGUGAUAGUGAAGUUCAGCGUUUUGAUGGCUACCAACUGUAUAAAUAUUCUGGAUCAAGCCCUCCUCAGGCCUGACUAGAUUGAUUGGAAGAUUUAAUUCCCAAAUCCCAACGAAGAGUCCUGCUUCAAUAUCUUGAAAAUAAACUCGAGGAAGAUGGACUUGAUGCGUGGGAUUGAUCUGAAGAAGAUCACAGAGAAGAUGAAUGGUGCAUCUGGUGCAGAACUUAAUCAGAUGGGCCACACACUUAAAUCAAUUGGCAUCUUAUGAUCAGAGCAAAGGUACAAUUGAGGC
Long non-coding RNA from Magnolia sinica, 1078 nucleotides. RefSeq lists it as uncharacterized. Lineage: Eukaryota; Viridiplantae; Streptophyta; Magnoliopsida; Magnoliales; Magnoliaceae. The record is from RefSeq and is a predicted model, not a curated record. The transcript is spliced from 3 exons.